This 441-nucleotide ribosomal RNA is filed under the name uncultured bacterium. RNAcentral's name for it is "partial 16S ribosomal RNA". It matches the Rfam family "Bacterial small subunit ribosomal RNA", at positions 338 to 795 of the family's 1533-position model. The record is from RNAcentral.
CCUACGGGUGGCAGCAGUGGGGAAUAUUGCACAAUGGGGGAAACCCUGAUGCAGCGACGCCGCGUGAGUGAAGAAUGCCUUCGUUAUGUAAAGCUCUAUCAGCAGGGAAGAAAAUUACGGUACCUGAGUAAUAAUCCCCGUCUAACUACGUGCCAGCAGCCGCGGUACUACGUAGGGGGCAAGCGUUAUCCGGAUUUACUGGGUUUAAAGGGUGCUUAUGCUGUGAGGUAAGUCAGCGGUGAAAUGCCCGCGGUCAACGGGGUGAAGUGCCAUUGAUACUGCCUUGCUGGAGUGCGGAUGAGGUGGGAGGAAUGUGUGGUGUAGCGGUGAAAUGCAUAGAUAUCACACAGAACACCGAUUGCGAAGGCAUCUCACGAAGCCGCGAUUGACGCUGAUGCACGAAAGCGUGGGUAUCAAACAGGAUUAGAUACCCCUGUAGUC